CUGCUCUUGUGAUCUUGAUUGACACGAGUGGCACCCUUCUGCAGAAGUAAAUUGCCUAGCUUAGAGAACUUCUGCCUGAGUGCUGGUUUCACUUUGCUGCACCAAGCAUUUAUUCCUAGAACAUUUUUAUAUUCAGCAAUUCUGGGGGCUCAUCCGGGAUCCCCAUUCUCCUUCAAGAAGGGGUCUUCAGUCACCCUACCCAGGGGAGAUGUGUCCCACUGCCCCAUUGUGGUGGCCUCAGGGAGGGGAGAUCAAGACCCACCCGUUGUUAUGAAUAAACUUGGACUCUCAGCAACACGGGGAGGAGAGGCUUGCAGUAUCGUGGCGACCAGCUAAACUCUGUGCACAGACCAAGGUGGACUCAUUCUUGUUGGCUGCUGUGUUAUACCAUGCAUCCAUGGGCUAAUACAAAGGAUUGUACAACCAGCACUUAGUUCUCCUCCAGCUUAUUCAAUCUCCAUCACUCUCUGCUGCCUGGUAACUGGUAUUGGACACCUGGACAUCUGCAUCCCCGAGCCUUGAGAACCCAACACGUGUUCUGGAAUGACUGGCAGUAGCACCCCACCACUCAACCCCCAUAUGAGAAGAAAAAGGCCUCCUGCCUCCUCUUCUUUCACCAGACACUGUGGGCCCACAAUUCCCAUGUGCACCCCAAAGAUCCAAGCCACUAGCUCUCUCUCCACCUCUUGCAGGGUAGACCUUCUCCUUUUUUUUUGGCGGGAGCGGACAGAAUCCCACUCUGUCACCCAGGCUAAAGUGCAGUGGCGCGAUCUCGGCUUUUGUGUUAUACAAGGCUCUUUAUAUCAUGAUUAACACAAUAAGGUGCUUAAUCAUGAGUCUUAAUGUGGCUGCAUCCCACUCCCUAGGCUUCAAGGACAGAAAUUGCAUAUUUUUGAAAAGGUUAUUCUAAUGUACACCUGGGUUUGUGAUCCACUUAUAAGCCCUCAAAACCACUAAUCUGUUCUCCAUAAUUUUGUCAUUUCUGGAAUAUCACAUAAAUGAAAACAUACCAUAUGUAACUCUAUGGGAUUGGCUUUAUUUUUUCACUCAGCAUAAUUUAUCCAGGUUUUUUGUGUUUAC
This 1080-nucleotide long non-coding RNA is filed under the name Homo sapiens (human). Its description in RNAcentral is "HSALNT0371307". The record is from RNAcentral. Lineage: Eukaryota; Metazoa; Chordata; Mammalia; Primates; Hominidae.